UAGGGAAUCUUCGGCAAUGGACGAAAGUCUGACCGAGCAACGCCGCGUGAGUGAAGAAGGUUUUCGGAUCGUAAAACUCUGUUGUUAGAGAAGAACAAGGACGUUAGUAACUGAACGUCCCCUGACGGUAUCUAACCAGAAAGCCACGGCUAACUACGUGCCAGCAGCCGCGGUAAUACGUAGGUGGCAAGCGUUGUCCGGAUUUAUUGGGCGUAAAGCGAGCGCAGGCGGUUUGUUAAGUCAGAUGUGAAAUCCCCGGGCUCAACCUGGGAACUGCAUCUGAUACUGGCAAGCUUGAGUCUCGUAGAGGGGGGUAGAAUUCCAGGUGUAGCGGUGAAAUGCGUAGAGAUCUGGAGGAAUACCGGUGGCGAAGGCGACCCCCUGGACGAAGACUGACGCUCAGGUGCGAAAGCGUGGGGAGCAAACAGG
This 429-nucleotide ribosomal RNA is filed under the name Chloroflexota bacterium. Its description in RNAcentral is "Chloroflexi bacterium partial 16S ribosomal RNA". It matches the Rfam family "Bacterial small subunit ribosomal RNA", at positions 355 to 776 of the family's 1533-position model. Lineage: Bacteria; Bacillati; Chloroflexota. The record is from RNAcentral.